GACGAACGCUGGCGGCGUGCUUAACACAUGCAAGUCGAACGGAAAGGCCCUGCUUUUGUGGGGUGCUCGAGUGGCGAACGGGUGAGUAACACGUGAGUAACCUGCCCUUGACUUUGGGAUAACUUCAGGAAACUGGGGCUAAUACCGGAUAGGAGCUCCUGCUGCAUGGUGGGGGUGGGAAAGUUUCGGCGGUUGGGGAUGGACUCGCGGCUUAUCAGCUUGUGGGUGGGGUAGUGGCUUACCAAGGCUUUGACGGGUAGCCGGCCUGGGAGGGUGACCGGCCACAUUGGGACUGAGAUACGGCCCAGACUCCUACGGGAGGCAGCAGUGGGGAAUAUUGCACAAUGGGCGGAAGCCUGAUGCAGCAACGCCGCGUGCGGGAUGACGGCCUUCGGGUUGUAAACCGCUUUCGCCUGUGACGAAGCGUGAGUGACGGUAAUGGGUAAAGAAGCACCGGCUAACUACGUG
This 468-nucleotide ribosomal RNA is filed under the name uncultured bacterium. RNAcentral's name for it is "partial 16S ribosomal RNA". It matches the Rfam family "Bacterial small subunit ribosomal RNA", at positions 28 to 507 of the family's 1533-position model. The record is from RNAcentral.